CGGGGCUCUCCUAGGUCUGGGCUCUGGCAAAAUUGGGGAGCCAGAGCGGGAGGAGCCUCAUC
Molecule: microRNA precursor, 62 nt
Filed under: Echinops telfairi (small Madagascar hedgehog)
Lineage: Eukaryota; Metazoa; Chordata; Mammalia; Afrosoricida; Tenrecidae
Description: Ete-Novel-6_pre stem-loop
Source: RNAcentral